UUUCAGUGAUGAUGAAACUUAGCUCACUAUGACCCACUGUGAAAUGGAACGAACAUCUGAGGAAC
Molecule: small nucleolar RNA, 65 nt
Organism: Thalassophryne amazonica
Lineage: Eukaryota; Metazoa; Chordata; Actinopteri; Batrachoidiformes; Batrachoididae
Source: RefSeq, a predicted model, not a curated record